This is a long non-coding RNA of Brassica napus (rape), 3171 nucleotides long. RefSeq lists it as uncharacterized. The record is from RefSeq and is a predicted model, not a curated record. Lineage: Eukaryota; Viridiplantae; Streptophyta; Magnoliopsida; Brassicales; Brassicaceae. The transcript is spliced from 2 exons.
AUCAUCUUCCAUUUCUUACGCACCUUAGAGCAUCUCCAACAAGCCCCUUCAUUUUUUAUUUGGUUUAUCCUUAAAAUAAAAGAUUAAAAGGGUGAUUCUCCAAUGAUGACCUUCAAAAAUUUUCUCUUAAAAAUUUAUAUUUUACACUUUAGUCCUCAAUUUCAGUAAUAGUUCAUUAUAGUCAUUAAAAGUUUAUAAAUUAACAAUAAACCCAUAUUAAUAUAUGGUAUUGACAUAAUUAGUAAACAUAUUUAAUUAUAACAUCAAAUUACUUAUAAUAAAAGAUAAAAAAACAUUAACACAUAAAAUUACAUAUAAUAAUAGAACAUAAACAAUUCGAAUUACAAUAUAUAUAAAAUACAAAACUAAUCAAUACGAUUAUUUCCAUAAUGCUCCCAAAUAUGCUCAAUCAAAGAAUUUUUAAGUGAUAAAUGAGCUUCCUUAUUUUUUAUUCGAACAUUACGUGCUAAAAAUUGUUGAAAACGCAUAUCUUCGUUUAUGGCCAUCUCAACGUUUAUUGGCGCCGCCGGUCUUGCAUCUCGAAUAGGUGCGUUCAUCUUCAAUUAUCAUGUUAUGCAUUAUAAUACAUGAAGUCAUUAUAUCAUGCAAUACCUCUUUCUUCCAAUAACGUGAGGAUCCUACGAUGGUAGUAAAUCUGGCUUGUAGAACUCCAAAAGCUCGUUCAACAUCUUUCUGACAUGAUUCUUGUCUUGCUGCAAACAAUUUUUUCUUUGGACCUUGGGGAUCGCUUAUUGUUUGAACAAUUGUUGACCAUUUAGAAUAAAUAUCAUCGGCCAAAUAAUAACCCAUGUUAUAUUCUUGACCUUGAAUUGUGUAAUUAGCUGGAGGAGCGGUACCUUGAGCAAGUCUGGAAAAUAAAUUGGAAGAUUUCAUAACAUUAAUAUCGUUGUUGCUUCCCGGCAUUCUGAAAAAGAUAUGCCAUAUCCAUAGAUCAUAAUCCGCAACCGCUUCGAGAAUGAUCGUAGGUGACCCGCUACAGUCUGCAUAUUGUCCUGCCCAUGCGGUUGGACAGUUUUUCCACUUCCAAUGCAUGCAAUCAAGACUGCCUAACAUUCCAGAAAAUCUGCGUUGUUGCCCAAUAUUGAGAAGCCUGGAAACGUCCUCUGGUGUUGGUGACCUGAGAUACCACUCUGAAAAGAUAGAUACAAUUGCACGAUAAAAUCUUUUCAUGCAUUCAAUUGCUAUAGACUGUUCUAUUUUAAUGUAUUCAUCGGUCGCAUCAGGAGGCCAAGAUAUGAAGAGCAGUUGUUACUUUUUGUAAAGUUGAUAAUCCAAGUCUACCAGAUGCAUCACAUCGUUGGUUGAAAUAGUUGUCAUGUUGCUUGACGGCAUCAACAAGGUGAAGAAUAACCUUCGUGACAUUCUAAAUCGACGAUGAAACUCUCUUUCACCAUACACAGGAUGAUCAGAAAAAUAAUCAUUGUACAAAUUACGAUGAGCAUUUUCUCUAUCACGAAAAAUAACUGCAUGACCGAUGAUAGAACCACAGUGACUUAGAUGAUUAUUUUCCUGAUUGAGUUAGUGAAUAAGACGAUUAUUGUUGAUAAACAAAUUGACUGCAAUUUGUUGUUCUCUCUCUAUUGUUUCAUUUUCAUCAAUAAUCCAUUGAUCAAACUCAAAUGAGUAAGAAGAAGAAGAUGAUGAAUUUUCGAUAUUAAAGUUCAUUUUUAUUAGAAGUUUUGUUGAUAUGUCCGUAGUAUAUAUAGGAAUACAUAUUACUAUGUCACAUCAACCAUUAAAUUGAAACUUUGUCAUUUUCUUAUCUAACCUUCAACCUCCAACCAUAAACAACCCCCAACCGUAUUCAAUUGAUUUACACCAUUCAAUAAGUCAUUUAAUAGAUUUUUUGUCUCAUCAACCAUUAAAUGAUAUUUUGUAAUUUUACUAUCCAACAUCUAACCAUAUUUAGUAAAUAAGAUAACCUCCAACCAUAUUUAUUUUGUGUAUAAAUAAUAGAUUUUACCAAAUGGAAAAAUCACGUUUUAUUAAAUCACACUUUCUCCAUCCCACUCAUUCGUUUCUUUCUCUUGUUUACAAAAAUGGAAAAAAAUAGAGGCACAUCAUUCAACUAACAAGAAGAUGAGUUGUUAUGUCAUGUCUACUUAGAAAUUUCACAGGAUCCCAUUGUAGCAACAAUCAAACUCUGAAGAAACUACGGGAAAAAAUAGAAAAAACUUAAAAUGAGAAAAAAACAGAGAGUUGGGAAAUUAGAAGUCAUAGGUCUUUAGAAAGUAGGAAGGGUAUCAUUUUGUAUGCUGUUAGAAACUUGAAGAGCUGUGUGAUUCAAGUGCAAAAUAUGCAUCCAAGUGGCGCAUCCGAUCAAGACAUUAUGGAAAACGCAAAAAAAAUUAUUUAUGCAAGACCCAAAACUAAAAAAAUGUUUUAAAUUUGAUCAUGUGUGGCUUUUAAUGAAAGAUAUUCCAAAGUUUUCAGAUAAUGUUAAUAUCGGUAUUCCGGAUAUUGAGAGUGAUACUGUCGGCUCUCCAGCAUCACAAUCUUCUGGAAUUUCUUCAUUCUCAAUCAAUUUAAGCAGUCACGAUGGUGGUUCAAAUUCGACACAACGUCCUAUUGGAUCGAAGAAAGCAAAACUUAAAAGAAAACUUUCUGAAGGUAAUACUUCAUCUACGGAUAAUGUGGUUGAAACAAAUUCUAGAUUUCUUGAAAGAAAUGGCAUCAUCUAGAGAAAAAACUUAUGAGAAGGUUCAAUUACACAUGCAAAAUCAAGCAAAAACCUUAGCUCUGAAAGAAAUGGAGGCUGAAAAUAAAAUCAUGUUGAAAAAUUUAAACUCCAUUGAUGAUAACACUCGCCAAUUUAUCCUAUCUGAACAAGCAAGAAUCAUACAAAAAAAGAACUCAACAACAACAAACCGAAGAGAAUGCUUGAAAUUUAUAUCGAGAAUACUUUGUGAUUUUGGAGGUUCAAGACCAAAUUUACCUUAAUAUUAGUAUUGUAAUAUAUAUUUCAAUGUGUAAUAUUUCAGCUUAUGGAUUUACCUGAAUAUUAGUAUUGUAAGAUAUAUUUUAAUGUGUAAUAUUUCAGUUUAUGUAUCUUUUAUUUUGAUGUAAAAUAUUAUGAUUGUAUUAUAAUUUUGUAUUUGUGUAAAAUUUUCGAAAUAUAUUAUGUGCAAUAAUAUGUUUAUAUUAUAUUUU